UACGAAGGGGGGCUAGCGUUGCUCGGAAUCACUGGGCGUAAAGGGUGCGUAGGCGGGUCUUUUAAGUCAGUGGUGAAAUCUCUGAGCUUAACUCAGAAACUGCCAUUGAUACUAUGUUUUCUUGAAUUUUCUGGAGGUCAGCGGAAUAUGUCAUGUAGCGGUGAAAUGCUUAGAUAUGACAUAGAACACCAAUUGCGAAGGCAGCUGGCUACAGGGAUAUUGACACUGAGGCACGAAAGCGUGGGGGAUCAAACAGG
RNAcentral lists this ribosomal RNA (257 nucleotides) under uncultured bacterium. RNAcentral's name for it is "partial 16S ribosomal RNA". It matches the Rfam family "Bacterial small subunit ribosomal RNA", at positions 524 to 776 of the family's 1533-position model. The record is from RNAcentral.